This 360-nucleotide ribosomal RNA is filed under the name uncultured bacterium. RNAcentral's name for it is "bacterial SSU rRNA". It matches the Rfam family "Bacterial small subunit ribosomal RNA", at positions 28 to 388 of the family's 1533-position model. The record is from RNAcentral.
GACGAACGCUGGCGGCGUGCUUAACACAUGCAAGUCGAGCGGUAAGGCCCUUUCGGGGGUACACGAGCGGCGAACGGGUGAGUAACACGUGGGUGACCUGCCCUCAGCUCUGGGAUAAGCCUGGGAAACUGGGUCUAAUACUGGAUAUGACUCCACGGUGCAUGUCGUGGGGUGGAAAGCCUUGUGCGGCUGAGGAUGGGCCCGCGGCCUAUCAGCUUGUUGGUGGGGNGAUGGCCUACCAAGGCGACGACGGGUAGCCGGCCUGACGAGGGCGACCGGCCACACUGGGACUGAGACACGGCCCAGACUCCUACGGGAGGCAGCAGUGGGGAAUCUUGCGCAAUGGGCGAAAGCCUGACG